UCCCCGUUGGCCGGGGCAGUCUCGCCUGAAAAAUACAACAGACGACAAGGGUUGCGCUCGUUGCGGGACUUAACCCAACAUCUCACGACACGAGCUGACGACGGCCAUGCAGCACCUGUCACUGGAUUCCCGAAGGCACAUCCGGCUUUCACCGGACUUCCCAGGAUGUCAAGCCUCGGUAAGGUUCUUCGCGUAUCUUCGAAUUAAACCACAUGCUCCACCGCUUGUGCGGGUCCCCGUCAAUUCCUUUGAGUUUUAAGCUUGCGCUCGUACUCCCCAGGCGGGAUGCUUAACGCGUUAGCUUCUCAGCCCAAGGGGUCGAUACCUCGAACUAAUAGCAUCCAUCGUUUACGGCGUGGACUAC
RNAcentral lists this unclassified non-coding RNA (364 nucleotides) under uncultured bacterium. Its description in RNAcentral is "contains 16S-23S intergenic spacer region". The record is from RNAcentral.